Molecule: transfer RNA, 87 nt
Filed under: Actinobacteria bacterium RBG_16_68_12
Lineage: Bacteria; Bacillati; Actinomycetota
Description: tRNA-Leu
Rfam family: tRNA
About the family: Transfer RNA (tRNA) molecules are approximately 80 nucleotides in length. Their secondary structure includes four short double-helical elements and three loops (D, anti-codon, and T loops).
Source: RNAcentral
GCGGAUGUGGCGGAAUUGGUAGACGCGCACGGUUCAGGUCCGUGUGCCCGAAAGGGCGUGGAGGUUCAAGUCCUCUCAUCCGCAUCA